RNAcentral lists this ribosomal RNA (253 nucleotides) under uncultured bacterium. RNAcentral describes it as "partial 16S ribosomal RNA". It matches the Rfam family "Bacterial small subunit ribosomal RNA", at positions 524 to 776 of the family's 1533-position model. The record is from RNAcentral.
UACGAAGGGUGCAAGCGUUACUCGGAAUUACUGGGCGUAAAGCGUGCGUAGGUGGUUUGUUAAGUCUGUUGUGAAAGCCCCGGGCUCAACCUGGGAAUGGCAAUGGAUACUGGCAAGCUAGAGUGCGGUAGAGGGUAGUGGAAUUCCCGGUGUAGCGGUGAAAUGCGUAGAGAUCGGGAGGAACACCAGUGGCGAAGGCGGCUACCUGGACCAGCACCGACACUGAGGCACGAAGGCGUGGGGAGCAAACAGG